ACCCUACUCUGAUGCAGGUGGCUUCGUCAGGAUGCAAAAUAUUUCAUUUGCAUAUAUUUACCCAAAAGGACAUAAUUGAAGUGUGGUCAAAGAGAAAGCCAAGUGCAACAUCUCAGACCUUUUGGAAGUACGGCCUGCGUGCACAUACCAAAAGACAGGAGAUGCAAGCUGGAUUCAAAAUCACUGACAUGCAUCUUGCUUGGCCACUGCCAUGAAAGCAAAGGUUACAGAUUAUGGAAUCCAAGUACCAAAAAGCUUGUCAAGUCUAGAGAUGUCAUAUUCAAAGAAACAGUGCAAGUCACAGAAAUAUUGGAAUUUAAAAUGCCGAACAACUAUGUGUAUCUGAUCAUGCCAGCAACUGGAGAUAUAUCUGAACCAGAAGUUACCAACAUGGAAGUUCAACCACAGAAAAGGUUGCUACGAAAAAGUGACUGAGCUACUGCACAGACUACAUGUUGAUGUUCCUGCAGGGAAUCUUCAUCCUCUGUACCAAGAUGGCCACUGAGGCUACUACUAAACAGGUGCAGCGCCAUCUUGGGACUGUGAGAGAGUGCCACAGUGGGAGACAGUAGUCUUCACUUACAUGUUUACAUGCAAUAUAACCGCUGUUCCAGCAUACUGCACCGCUACCCGGUACCCACAUACACUCCCCGGCCGGUAAACUGUAUGAAACCCUGGUCCACUUAAGCUGGCUCCAUCUACCAGUGUGUAUAGUAAGUACGGCUGUACCUGCUUCAUCUUCAAUAAAACCACU
This is a long non-coding RNA of Pseudophryne corroboree (corroboree frog), 754 nucleotides long. RefSeq lists it as uncharacterized. The record is from RefSeq and is a predicted model, not a curated record. NCBI's taxonomy places the organism in Eukaryota, Metazoa, Chordata, Amphibia, Anura, Myobatrachidae. The transcript is spliced from 3 exons.